UACGUAGGUGGCAAGCGUUGUCCGGAUUUACUGGGCGUAACUUUUUCGUAGGCGGAUACUUAAGUGGGAUGUGAAAUACCUGGGCUUAACUUGGGUGCUGCAUUCCAAACUGGGUGUCUAGAGUGUUGGAGAGGAAAGUGGAAUUCCUAGUGUAGCGGUGAAAUGCGUAGAGAUUAGGAAGAACACCAGUGGCGAAGGCGACUUUCUGGACAAUAACUGACGCUGAGGCUCGAAAGCGUGGGGAGCAAACAGGAUUAGAUACCCUGGUAGUCCACGCCGUAAACGAUGGGUACUAGGUGUAGGAGGUAUCGACUCCUCCUGUGCCGCCGUUAACACAAUAAGUACCCCGCCUGGGGAGUACGGUCGCAAGAUUAAA
This 376-nucleotide ribosomal RNA is filed under the name uncultured bacterium. Its description in RNAcentral is "bacterial SSU rRNA". It matches the Rfam family "Bacterial small subunit ribosomal RNA", at positions 524 to 898 of the family's 1533-position model. The record is from RNAcentral.